UUUUUUCUUUUUUUUUUUUUUUUUGCCUCUCCCGUGGAUAGAGAAGUUCCCAGGCGAGGGAUCAAACCCGCACCACAGCACAGUGAUAAAGCCAAAUCCUUAACCUGCUAGGCCACCAGGGAACUCCAUCUAGCCUGACUUUUCAGGCAUCAGAAUGCAGAAAAACGAAGCUUGCGUUUGGAGACAAAUUUCCAGCUGUUAUUUGGAGGAUACCUGAAAGGAUGAGGGCUGGAGUCAAGGCUCCUGAAAUAGGGAAAUUGAAAGCUUUUUAACCAUAGCAGGAAGGUGGCGAGGGGCCUCGGCACCCCCAUGGGAAGGGGCCCACCCUGCACGUGCAGAAGCACCCCGAUGCCCGCCUCCCCACCCACACCCCUGUGCCCAGGAAUUAGUUGUAGGAGUCCCAUCAGGUCAGCGGAGUGUGGUCCGUUAAUGAGAUAAAAUCUAAAAGCUUUAUAAACACACUUUAUUUCUAGGCAUGUUUGUGUGAGACAGUGUUUUGGGGGGCUAUUUUUCUUAUUUUCCAAUAAAAUUAAAUAAACACACGUGAGCACACACAUGUUAUUGUGUAAACAGAGCACAGGAAGAUGAGCCAUGCUGGCGGGAUGAGGGGUUGAUGUGAUUUCUCCUGGUUUGAAUGAAGGAAGACUUGGUCCUCCCUCUACCCCUCGCCCUGCUGCAGAGGGCAUCGCUUUUCCGCCCUGCCCGGUAGUCUCUCUAAUCUUCCAAAUUACAUCAGCAUCCCCCGCCCCGCCUCCCCGGAAGCCAUGGGCUGACUCUUUCGGAGGGGACACGGGGAAGAGUGGGACAGGAUGCGGUGGCCAAAGCAAUGACCGAUUUGAGAUUCUGAGUCAUGAAUGAUCAUAAUUAGAAGGCAGACAGAGUGCGCUGCUGGUGCUGCCUUUGCUGCCUGUUCCCUGUGAAAGCUCUGGGAAUUAAAAUAAUGGGCUUUUAAAACAAAAGCCGGGUAGGGCUCUACCUAAUGGCCUGCGCACUGAGCACUGGCAGCAGGCGGCCGCACACGGACCUGUGGCUGACAGGUCCUGCAGAAAACAGAUGGAACUGUCACCUCCGGGAACACCCCCUGGCCCCCAAGGCAAAGGAGCCAGAAAGAGCCCAGGAAGAGAGGGCCCCCGUGACUCAGGCCAGGAAGGAGUCCCAGGAACCCUGCCAGCAAGGGCUGGGGAAUAGGAUGACUUACUGGGGAACGAGGACUGCCAUUACAACCCCAGGCACGCAAGGACAAACACCCAGGAGUUUCUGCGGGGGUACAGUGGGUUUUGAGAACCCAGCUAGGAUCCAGGAGGAUCCAGGUGCCAUCCCUGGCCUCACUCAGUCAGUUAAGGGUCCGGCGUUGCCAUGAGCUGAGGUAUAGGUCACGGAUGUGGCUCGAAUGCUGUGUUACUGUGGCUGUGGUGCAGGCCGGCAGCUGUAGCUCCGACUCAGUCCCUAGCCUGGGAACUUCCAUAGGCUGCAGGUGCAGCCCUAAAAAGCGUAAUAAUAAUAAUAAUGAUAAUGAUGAAAGAAUCUGACUAUAGAGGUCUCAGUCACUGUGGGGAUGUAGGUUUGAUCUCUGGCCCAGCUCAGUGGGUUAAAGGAGCCAGCACAGCUGCAGCUGUGGUAUAGGUCACAGCUGCAGCUCAGAUUUAAUCCCUGAACCAGGAACUUCCAUAUGUCGAGGCUGCGGCUGCUAAAAAACAGAAAAAAAAGGAGUUCCCAUCGUGGCACAGUGGAAACGAAUCUGACUAGGAACCAUGAGGUUGCAGGUUUAAUCCCUGACCUUGCUCAGUGGGUUAAGGAUCCGGCGUUGCCAUGAGCUGUGGUGUAAGUCACAGACACAGCUCAGAUCUGGUGUUGCUGUGGCUCUGGUGUUGGCUGGCAGCUGUAGCUCCGAUUGGACCCCUAGCC
This 1905-nucleotide long non-coding RNA is filed under the name Sus scrofa (pig). RNAcentral's name for it is "lncRNA (ENSSSCG00040034173.1)". Lineage: Eukaryota; Metazoa; Chordata; Mammalia; Artiodactyla; Suidae. The record is from RNAcentral.